This is a long non-coding RNA of Pogoniulus pusillus (Red-fronted tinkerbird), 1180 nucleotides long. RefSeq lists it as uncharacterized. The transcript is spliced from 3 exons. NCBI's taxonomy places the organism in Eukaryota, Metazoa, Chordata, Aves, Piciformes, Lybiidae. The record is from RefSeq and is a predicted model, not a curated record.
AUGGAUGUUGGGUUGUGACACGUUGCUGGGCUAGGAUGUGCCCUCGAGGCAGCUUCAUCAAGCAAGGAAGAAACCAACUAGGCAGUGAAAUUUAGAGCACCUGUUUAACCCUGUGGCCAGGCAUUGGAACACUCUCAGUUGCUGCAGACGUGGUUACAGACACUGCCUUUCAGUUCCUGUGCCCAUAAGACCAGGACAAAGAAGAACACAGGAGCAUUGUAGUGGAUCCAGCCAUCAGCUGAUAGGAGAUGCUUACAGGAUGGAUCAAGCACUGACAGACAUUUACAGCUGUAAUGAGGGUGAAAGCUGACAGAUGACGAAGUCAGGAGCCAAGAUAAGGACAAAGAGAGGUCUUCAGUAUUUGUGUGGCCUCUUUGCUGCCUUUAAAUCCAGAGGAACAUUUCUGCAGGUCUGAUUGCCCUUCCAGUACACCAGUGAGCAUUGGAUGGCUGAGCAUAAGUGGUCUUCAAAGGCCUGCUUUUCUACCUUCUGUUUUGAGGUGCCAGUAGCUGCAGACUCAAAGUUCUCCUUGUGCUCUGGGAAGCCCCAACCGAACACAAAAAAAGGCUGCAAUAUUUCCAGACUCUGAACAGUCCUGUAUUAUCUGCAAAAAUCUUUGGGAAGCUCCUGUAGUUCUGAAAUGACAAAUGGUAGUGAACCUGAUUUUGCUGCUGUUGCUCAUAGCGAGCAGGACCUUACUUGUACCAUGUAUUACAGCUGGUCCACCCACAAAGGGAGCCCUUUCAGUACUGCACUCCCUGAUUUCAGCCUGGUACAAUGGCUUUGCUCUGUAAAACCUUUCCUUUCACAUCUCCCCUCACACAUGUUAACAGAACACAGAAGGACAUUCUUUGCCUCUGACACAAGCAGGGAGGAAAAGCUCCAUCACCGACCACUUUCCUUACAUCGUCUAUUUUUAAAGCGGUUUGCAGACACUAAUAGAGUGUGCUGGGUGUCAUCCAGAUUGCAGUGACAUAAGUGAAAAAGCUCCCACCAGUUCAGUGACCUCAGCAAGUUCUGGAUGUUAGAUGAGUAACAGUCACUGAGCGAAUCCGGCCAGCUUCACUGGGGAAGCGUUUCUAGACGUCACUCUUGACUGCAGUGUUCGUGUUUGUGAUCGUUCCUGUUUCCUCUAGGAUUUUCACUUCUACCUUCUGAUUCAGGCCAGAGUAAAGCCAAA